This 245-nucleotide ribosomal RNA is filed under the name uncultured bacterium. Its description in RNAcentral is "partial 16S ribosomal RNA". It matches the Rfam family "Bacterial small subunit ribosomal RNA", at positions 58 to 334 of the family's 1533-position model. The record is from RNAcentral.
CAAGUCGAGUGGGUUUAGACCCACGGCGAACGGGUGAGUAAUACCUAGGAACUUUACUUUAGUCGGGCAUAACCAGCCGAAAGGUUGGACAAUUCCCGAUGUUAUCGCAAGAUCAAAGCAGCAAUGCGCUAAAGUUGAGGCCUGGGCACCAUCAGCUAGUUGGUAAGGUAACGGCUUACCAAGGCUAUGACGGUUAGGGGUCCCGAGAGGGAUAACCCCCACACUGGAACUGCGACACGGUCCAG